AUGGCUGUUAGUGGUCAGUCUUUGACCUCCUCAGAUUCUGUGGUGAAAAAGCCUGGAGAAUCAGUGACUCUGUCCUGCACUGUGUCUGGAUUCUCAAUGAGCAGCUAUUACAUGCACUGGAUCCGUCAGAAACCAGGGAAAGCACUGGAGUGGAUUGAAUAUAUAGACACUGGUUCAAGUGCAUAUUUUGCUCAGUCUCUACAGGGACAGUUCUCCAUCACCACAGACACCAGCAAAAACAUGCUGUAUUUAGAGGUGAAAAAAAAUUCUGUUGUGGUGUGUCAAACACUGACUGAGUCUGAGUCAGUGGUCAUUAAACCUGGAGGAUCUCACAAACUCACCUGUACAUUCUCUGGAUUUAGUAGUGACCCAGACUUAGCUUGGAUCAGACAGACUGCAGGAGGAGGUCUGGAGUGGCUGGCAUACAUCUUGUACAUUCUUGGUAGUAGUUAUAUAUUCUACUCUCAGUCUGUUCAGGGACGCUUCACCAUCUGCCAGAGACAACAGCAAGAAACAGAUGUAUCUGCAGAAUGA
Cyprinus carpio (common carp) is the source of this 534-nucleotide non-coding RNA. The record is from the annotation of a RefSeq genome assembly. Lineage: Eukaryota; Metazoa; Chordata; Actinopteri; Cypriniformes; Cyprinidae.